UACAGAGGUCUCGAGCGUUAGGCGGAAUCACUGGGCUUAAAGCGUGUGUAGGCGGAUCGGUAAGUACUUUGUGAAAUCCCACAGCUUAACUGUGGAACUGCUUGGUAUACUGCCAGUCUUGAGCCAGCUAGGGGCUACCGGAACAAAUGGUGGAGCGGUGAAAUGCGUAGAUAUCAUUUGGAACGCCAAUGGUGAAAACAGGUAGCUGGGGCUGUGCUGACGCUGAGACACGAAAGCCAGGGGAGCAAACGGG
RNAcentral lists this ribosomal RNA (253 nucleotides) under uncultured bacterium. RNAcentral's name for it is "partial 16S ribosomal RNA". It matches the Rfam family "Bacterial small subunit ribosomal RNA", at positions 524 to 776 of the family's 1533-position model. The record is from RNAcentral.